ACGGGAGGCAGCAGUGGGGAAUAUUGGGCAAUGGGCGCAAGCCUGACCCAGCAACGCCGCGUGAAGGAUGAAGGUCUUCGGAUUGUAAACUUCUUUAAUCGGGGAAGAAAAAAAUGACUACCCGAAGAAUAAGCCACGGCUAACUACGUGCCAGCAGCCGCGGUAAUACGUAGGUGGCAAGCGUUAUCCGGAUUUACUGGGUGUAAAGGGCGUGUAGGCGGCUCUGUAAGUCAGAAGUGAAAUUCCCGAGCUCAACUUGGGCGCUGCUUCUGAAACUACAGAACUUGAGUACUGGAGGGGAAAGCGGAAUUCCUAGUGUAGCGGUAAAAUGCGCAGAUAUUAGGAAGAACACCAGUGGCGAAGGCGACUUGCUGGACCGAGACUGACGCUGAGGCUCGAAAGCGUGGGGAGCAAACAGGAUUAGAUACCCUGGUA
This 435-nucleotide ribosomal RNA is filed under the name uncultured Saccharofermentans sp. RNAcentral's name for it is "partial 16S ribosomal RNA". It matches the Rfam family "Bacterial small subunit ribosomal RNA", at positions 341 to 792 of the family's 1533-position model. The record is from RNAcentral. Lineage: Bacteria; Bacillati; Bacillota; Clostridia; Eubacteriales; Oscillospiraceae.